GACGAACGCUGGCGGCGUGCUUAACACAUGCAAGUCGAACGGAAAGGCCCUGCUUUUGUGCGGUGCUCGAGUGGCGAACGGGUGAGUAACACGUGAGUAACCUGCCCUUGACUUUGGGAUAACUUCAGGAAACUGGGGCUAAUACCGGAUAGGAUCUCCUGCUGCAUGGUGGGCGUUGGAAAGUUUCGGCGGUUGGGGAUGGACUCGCGGCUUAUCAGCUUGUUGGUGGGGUAGGGGCUUACCAAAGCUUUGCCGGGUAGCCUGCCUGAGAGGGUGGCCGGCGACAUUAGGACUGAGAUACGGACCAGACUACUAUGGUAGGCAGCGGUGGGGAGUAUUGCACAAUGGGCGGAAGCAUGAUGAAGCAACGCCGCGGGCGGGAAGACGGCCUGGUGGUAGUAAACCGCAUUAGUCUGUGACGAAGCGUGAGUGACGGUACUGGGUGAAGAAGCACCGGCUAACUACGUG
Molecule: ribosomal RNA, 468 nt
Filed under: uncultured bacterium
Lineage: Bacteria
Description: partial 16S ribosomal RNA
Rfam family: Bacterial small subunit ribosomal RNA
Source: RNAcentral